ACUCCUACGGGAGGCAGCAGUGAGGAAUAUUGGUCAAUGGACGCAGGUUUGAACCAGCUAUGCCGCGUGCAGGUAGACUGCCCUAUUGGUUGUAAACUGCUUUUAUACGGGAAGAAACCCCCCAACGAGUUGGGGGCUGACGGUACCGUAAGAAUAAGGAUCGGCUAACUCCGU
RNAcentral lists this ribosomal RNA (174 nucleotides) under uncultured bacterium. Its description in RNAcentral is "partial 16S ribosomal RNA". It matches the Rfam family "Bacterial small subunit ribosomal RNA", at positions 335 to 506 of the family's 1533-position model. The record is from RNAcentral.